ACAAGCUGUUCUGUCCCGCUCCAUCCUCUGCCCAGCAGCUCUCUCAGUUGCUUUGCCUACUCAGUCUCACUGUUUCAUCUUCCCUGGGUCUCUUGGUCCCCUUCCUUUUGACUGUGUGUGAUUUUCACUGUGCCUCCAUCCUUCUCCUGCUCCUCUUCUUCCUCCUCCCGACCACUCAACUUUGUCCUGGCCUCAUUUUUGGCCUCUUCUGGCCAGUGAUCAGACCCUCUGGCCCACUACGGCCAGAGCUGGCUGGGCCUGAGGGAGGCUUGCCCUGAGGACUCCUGAGUCCCCCACCCACUCCACUCCGUUGGGAGCCCAGGGGAAUCAGGGCCUGGGCGUCUGGACCCCCGGGUCCCUUAGAACGCCCUUCAGAGAGAGGAACUGAGAGGAGAGGGUUAGAAGAGAGUGGGCCCGCCCUCAGGGUCUGGGGCCUUCCAGGUUGGGUCGUAGGGGCGGGAGCGCACAGGCUGCGAGAGAGGAGCAAAGCUGGGCUGGGCCGAGCCUGUGGGAACCUGCUUCUUCCUCUGUGCCCUGGGGCUGCUCCCCUUUGCCUCUCCCACCAGGAACCGAUCCCAGAAGUAGGA
Molecule: small RNA, 587 nt
Filed under: Pan troglodytes (chimpanzee)
Lineage: Eukaryota; Metazoa; Chordata; Mammalia; Primates; Hominidae
Description: processed transcript
Source: RNAcentral